GACGAACGCUGGCGGCGUGCUUAACACAUGCAAGUCGAACGAUGAAGCACCAGCGUGCGGGUGUGGAUUAGUGGCUAACGGGUGAGUAACACGUGAGUAACCUGCCCCUCACUCUGGGAUAAGCCUGGGAAACUGGGUCUAAUACUGGAUACGACCGAUCUCGGCAGGGAGUGGGGGUGGACAGUGUUUGUGGUGGUGGGUGGACUCGCGGCCUAUCAGCUUGUUGGUGGGGUAGUGGCCUACCAAGGCGGCGACGGGUAGCCGGCCUGAGGGGGCGGCCGGCCACACUGCGCCUGAGAGACGGCGCAGACUCCUACGGGAGGCAGCAGUGGAGAAUAUUGCACAAUGGGCGCACGCCUGAUGCAGCGACGCCGCGUGAGUGAAGACGGCCUUCGGGUUGUAAACCUCUUUCACCAGGGACCAAGCUAACGUGACGGUACCUGGAGAAGAAGCACCGGCUAACUACGUG
This 469-nucleotide ribosomal RNA is filed under the name uncultured bacterium. RNAcentral's name for it is "partial 16S ribosomal RNA". It matches the Rfam family "Bacterial small subunit ribosomal RNA", at positions 28 to 507 of the family's 1533-position model. The record is from RNAcentral.